CAUGCUGAAAACACUGGUUCUCGUUCGAUCACCAAAGUUAAGCAGCGUCGAGCCCGAUCAGUACUUAGAUGGGGAACUGCGUGGGAACACCGAGUACAGU
Non-coding RNA from Acanthosepion pharaonis, 100 nucleotides. The record is from the annotation of a GenBank genome assembly. NCBI's taxonomy places the organism in Eukaryota, Metazoa, Mollusca, Cephalopoda, Sepiida, Sepiidae.